GUGUCAGACGCCGGAUUCAGGUCACCCGCAAGGACUCCAGGGAAUCCGGGAACCGGCAGGUGAAGAAGGCCUUGGUGUGAGGCACCUGUCCUGAGGUCGCAGACCCGCAGAGGCCCAGGCCAAGCCAGGAGUCAAGCUGCUCAACAAGUCAUGCCUCGUCGUCCCACGAAGCGACGGCGCUACAUGCCUGAGGAAGGUCUUCCGACCCUAACAGAGACCCAGGGCCUCGUGGGUGCACAGGACCCUGGGGCGACAGAGGAGGUUGCUUCCUCCUCCUCCUCCAGGUCCUCCGCCUCCGCCACGUCCUCCUCCUCCCCCUCCUCUUCUUCUUGCUUUGCUCAUAUCUCAAGCGGUGAGGAAGAGGUUUCUAUGGUUUCACCCACCCCGAGUCCCCUCCAGGGCCCUGAGCGUGC
Long non-coding RNA from Manis pentadactyla (Chinese pangolin), 413 nucleotides. RefSeq lists it as uncharacterized. The transcript has 3 exons. The record is from RefSeq and is a predicted model, not a curated record. NCBI's taxonomy places the organism in Eukaryota, Metazoa, Chordata, Mammalia, Pholidota, Manidae.